AUGACUGCCUUGGCCAAGCCCGCCGCCUCAGCGCCGAAGCCCUCCGCCGCCAAGCCGAAGGCGGCCGCCGCUGGUGCCUCCCACCCGACCUACUUCGAGAUGAUCAAGGAGGCGAUCGCGGCGCUCAAGGACAGGACGGGGUCGAGCUCGGUCGCCAUCGCCAAGUACAUCGAGGAGAAGCACGGCAAGGCCCUCCCGGCCAACUUCAAGAAGAUGCUCUCCGUCCAGCUCCGCGCCUCCGCUGCCAAGGGCAAGCUCGUCAAGGUCAAGGCCUCCUACAAGCUCUCCGACGCCGCCAAGAAGGACGCGCCCAAGGCCAAGGCCACGGCCAAGCCCGCCAAGGACGCCGCCAAGGCCAAGAAGACGGUGGCCGCGAAGCCCAAGAAGACCGCCGCCGCUGGCACCAAGCGCAAGGCACCCGAGCAGAAGAAGCUGGUCGCCAAGGCCAAGAAGUCGCCUGCGGCCAAGGCCAAGGCGAAGCCGAAGACCGUCCGCUCCCCGGCCGUCAAGAAGGCCCGCAAGGUCGCCGCGGCUUGA
This 537-nucleotide ribosomal RNA is filed under the name Triticum aestivum (bread wheat). RNAcentral describes it as "partial small subunit ribosomal RNA". Lineage: Eukaryota; Viridiplantae; Streptophyta; Magnoliopsida; Poales; Poaceae. The record is from RNAcentral.